Molecule: ribosomal RNA, 868 nt
Filed under: Tolypocladium parasiticum
Lineage: Eukaryota; Fungi; Ascomycota; Sordariomycetes; Hypocreales; Ophiocordycipitaceae
Description: LSU rRNA
Rfam family: Eukaryotic large subunit ribosomal RNA
Source: RNAcentral
UAGCAUAUCAAUAAGCGGAGGAAAAGAAACCAACAGGAUUGCCCCAGUAACGGCGAGUGAAGCGGCAACAGCUCAAAUUGAAAUCUGGCCCCCAGGGUCCGAGUUGUAAUUGCAGAGGAUGAUUUUGGCGAGGUGCCUUCCGAGUUCCCUGGAACGGGACGCCAUAGAGGGUGAGAGCCCCGUCUGGUUGGACGCCGAGCCUAUGUAAAUCUCCUUCGACGAGUCGAGUAGUUUGGGAAUGCUGCUCUAAAUGGGAGGUAUAUGUCUUCUAAAGCUAAAUAUUGGCCAGAGACCGAUAGCGCACAAGUAGAGUGAUCGAAAGAUGAAAAGCACUUUGAAAAGAGGGUUAAAUAGUACGUGAAAUUGUUGAAAGGGAAGCGCUCAUGACCAGACUUGGGCCCGGUGAAUCAUCCAGCGUUCUCGCUGGUGCACUUUGCCGGGCUCAGGCCAGCAUCAGUUUGCCCCGGGGGACAAAGGCUCUGGGAAUGUGGCUCCUCCGGGAGUGUUAUAGCCCACUGCACAAUACCCUGGGGUGGACUGAGGUUCGCGCAUCUGCAAGGAUGCUGGCGUAAUGGUCAUCAGCGACCCGUCUUGAAACACGGACCAAGGAGUCGUCUUCGUAUGCGAGUGUUCGGGUGUGAAACCCCUACGCGUAAUGAAAGUGAACGCAGGUGAGAGCUUCGGCGCAUCAUCGACCGAUCCUGAUGUUCUCGGAUGGAUUUGAGUAAGAGCAUACGGGGCCGGACCCGAAAGAAGGUGAACUAUGCCUGUAUAGGGUGAAGCCAGAGGAAACUCUGGUGGAGGCUCGCAGCGGUUCUGACGUGCAAAUCGAUCGUCAAAUAUGGGCAUGGGGGCGAAAGACUAAUCG